This 492-nucleotide ribosomal RNA is filed under the name uncultured bacterium. RNAcentral describes it as "partial 16S ribosomal RNA". It matches the Rfam family "Bacterial small subunit ribosomal RNA", at positions 29 to 507 of the family's 1533-position model. The record is from RNAcentral.
AGUGAACGCUGGCAGUAGGCCUAACACAUGCAAGUCGAACGGCAGCACAGUAAGAGCUUGCUCUUACGGGUGGCGAGUGGCGGACGGGUGAGGAAUACAUCGGAAUCUACUUUUUCGUGGGGGAUAACGUAGGGAAACUUACGCUAAUACCGCAUACGACCUACGGGUGAAAGCAGGGGAUCUUCGGACCUUGCGCGAUUGAAUGAGCCGAUGUCGGAUUAGCUAGUUGGCGGGGUAAAGGCCCACCAAGGCGACGAUCCGUAGCUGGUCUGAGAGGAUGAUCAGCCACACUGGAACUGAGACACGGUCCAGACUCCUACGGGAGGCAGCAGUGGGGAAUAUUGGACAAAGGGCGCAAGCCUGAUCCAGCCGUACCGCGUGGGUGAAGAAGGCCUUCGGGUUGUAAAGCCCUUUUGUUGGGAAAGAAAAGCAGCAGGUUAAUACCCCGCUGUUCUGACGGUACCCAAAGAAUAAGCACCGGCUAACUUCGUG